AUGAACGGUAAGAACAAGAUCCGGGCCAUCAACACCUACGCCCUGCCCGUGAUCAGGUACCCUGCUGGGGUAAUAGGCUGGCCAAAGGAGGAGAUAGAAGCCACUGACAUAAAGACAAGAAAGCUCCUGACCAUGCAUGGAGGGUUUCACCCCAAGUCCAGCACCCUGAGGCUGUACGCUAAGCGGAAGGAAGGGGGCCGGGGACUGGUGAGUGUCAGCACCACAGUCCAGGAUGAGACAAGAAACAUCCACGAAUACAUCACGAAGAUGGCCCCAACUGACAGCGUGCUCAGUGAAUACCUCAGGCAGCAGAAACCCAAGAAAGAGGAGGAAGGCGAGGAACCAUCAUGGAAGGACAGGCCCCUGCACGGUAUGUACCACCGGGAGAUAGAGGAGGUGGCUGAUAUCCAGAAAUCCUACCAGUGGCUGGACAAAGCUGGACUGAAAGACAGCACAGAGGCACUAAUCAUGGCAGCACAAGAACAAGCUCUGAGUACAAGAUCCAUAGAGGCUGGGGUCUAUCACACCAGGCAAGACCCCAGGUGCAGGCUGUGUAAAGAUGCCCCAGAGACAAUCCAGCACAUAACAGCAGGGUGCAAGAUGCUAGCAGGCAAGGCAUACAUGGAACGCCAUAACCAAGUGGCCGGCAUAGUGUACAGGAACAUCUGUGCCGAGUAUAACCUGGAAGUCCCGAGGUCAAAAUGGGAGAUGCCCCCAAGGGUGAUGGAGAAUGACCGAGCUAAGAUCCUGUGGGACUUCCAGAUGCAGACGGACAAAAUGGUGGUGGCUAAGCAACCGGACAUAGUGGUGGUAGACAAACAGAAGAAGACGGCUGUAGUGAUCGAUGUAGCGGUUCCGAAUGACAGCAAUAUCAGGAAGAAGGAACACAAGAAGCUGGAGAAAUACCAAGGGCUCAGAGAAGAGCUCGAGAGGAUGUGGAGGGUGAAGGUAACGGUGGUCCCCGUGGUAAUCGGAGCACUAGGUGCGGUGACUCCCAAGCUAGGCGAGUGGCUCCAGCAGAUCCCGGGAACAACAUCGGAGAUCUCUGUCCAGAAGAGCGCAGUCCUGGGAACAGCUAAGAUACUGCGCAGGACCCUCAAGCUCCCAGGCCUCUGGUAG
This 1119-nucleotide long non-coding RNA is filed under the name Oreochromis niloticus (Nile tilapia). Its description in RNAcentral is "lncRNA (ENSONIG00000033881.1)". Lineage: Eukaryota; Metazoa; Chordata; Actinopteri; Cichliformes; Cichlidae. The record is from RNAcentral.